AUAGCACUCCACGCCGUCUCACUAGCUGACGCUUAACAAAAGCAAGGCCAAACCAGAAGAGGUACCUAAACCCUCAAAACCUCCGAUGACGAAAGAGGGCCAAACCGAAAAAACAAAAUCACUACUUUCUUAGAUCCACUCUUUCUCUUUUCUCUUCCGCUUGAUGAACAAUCCAGAACAUGCCCUCUCUGUGACUCAUUCGCAGAUUAAGUUUAAUCCCAGCGGUUAGUGUAGAGGUGGAUUUGUUGCAUUCGUAAAUCAAAUGGAGGAGCAAGCUUUUUUUGAUAAAAUGAUCAGCCACCUUCGCAGCACUUGCAAGUAUUACACCGGGUAUCCAAAAGAUCUUGGGCCAUCAAAGGUUGUUCAUUUUAAGUCAGAGCGUGAAUUUGUCCAGCUUCUUCAUGAGGGCCGUCCUAUUGUUGUUGCUUUUACCAUUAGAGGUAAUUAUACAAAACAUCUUGAUAGAGUACUUGAGGAAGCUGCUUCUGAAUUUUAUCCACAUGUAAAAUUUGUCCGUGUUGAAUGUCCAAAAUAUCCUGGGUUCUGUAUAACACGACAGAGGAAGGAAUAUCCAUUUGUUGAAAUAUUCCAUAGUCCUGAACAAGCAAACAAUCAAGGAAGGGUUGUUGAUCCAGGGAUCACAAGAUACUCUGUAAAAGUUCUACCUUUCAACUAUGACCUCAGUUCCUAUGGAUUUCGAGAGUUUUUCAAGCGCCACAACAUAAAAUCAUCAGACCCAAAAUAAGGCAUGGUGGGGGAUUGAUGUUAUCUAAUGUAAUGUCUAUAGUUUAAAAACCAUGUCUAAAAUUGUUUACAGUGAGGAUCCUGAAAUGUCUGAUUAUUGCUUUAACAUUUGGUUUGAAGCUUAUACCCACUGAACUUUAGUUUUCAUGGUCCAACUGUAGAGAUGUUAUAUGAUGCUUAAUAUUGUGUAAGCAUUUGUGAGAAAGGGCGCUGUGAAGAGAGACCUUUGGUAAGUGGGCUGAAGCUUCAAGUCCAUUAGGCGUCAGCCCAUAACCACAUUGCCAAUAACAUGAUAAACUUCUACUUGGGAUGA
Jatropha curcas is the source of this 1057-nucleotide non-coding RNA. NCBI's taxonomy places the organism in Eukaryota, Viridiplantae, Streptophyta, Magnoliopsida, Malpighiales, Euphorbiaceae. The record is from RefSeq and is a predicted model, not a curated record.